This 1089-nucleotide long non-coding RNA is filed under the name Ursus americanus (American black bear). Its description in RNAcentral is "lncRNA (ENSUAMG00000004030.1)". Lineage: Eukaryota; Metazoa; Chordata; Mammalia; Carnivora; Ursidae. The record is from RNAcentral.
CAGGAAACUCCCCCUAUCACGAGCAACUCAUUUUCCUAACAUUUUUCCCUCUUCAACAUACCAAAUAUACCUCUGGCAAGCUCGUCCAAGCAUAGGGUACUUGAAAUCUUGACACUAUUUCUAAAGCUUUUCUUCCUCUUUUAGCCUGUUGGUACCAAUAUGUUACUCCUGCUUGCUUAUAUACUCCAGGCACAAUUGGGAGGCACUGGAGUAGUGUAGGGGAAACACCAGUCGGGUUGAAGCGACAGAGGGAGAGGACAGCCCGGACUGCGGGCAUAGAUACGGGAUUCAGGCCCAGCGGAGUCAUCCCCGCCUUGUGAUUUGCAAGAAGGGUGGUGGGGAUGGGUGGUAAAACGGCACGGGCCAAGGGAGGAGGCAAAGAGGGUGCAUAUGGGACAGUGGGGAUGAGAAAGAAGGAAACAACCAAUUUAGAUCCUAGGGCCCCAUGGGCGAUGAGGGGCAAAUAGAGAAAUCUAGCCCCAUUCUNUCCCCAUGGGCGAUGAAGGGCAAAUAGAGAAACCUAGCCCCAUUCUCCCUCAAUCCCUCCUUGGCGAAGGACAAACGCCGAAGGAGGGGCCAUCCCAACGCCGCUCUGGGCCCAGCUCCCCAGUGGCCCCUGGAGAACCCGCGAUCGAGAGGAGACCUCCGAGCUGCCUAGACGGGACCCGGAAGUGCGCGCCAGGGAGCCCGAGUUUCCAGCGGUGCCCGGGGUCCGAGGUCGCCGCCGCUGCGGAGCGGCCGUGCGAUGACUGCCCGUCCGUUGUGCCGCGCUUUUUAGAAAUCGUAGAGGAGGUUCUGAAGCAGCACCGGGGAUUGGAUCCAGCCCAUGGAGAAGCUACCUGAGCAGAUAACCCCGGAGUCCCCGUACCCAUCCUCCAAGCAGGAGCCCCGAAAGAGCAAGGGUGAGGAGCUGACCUAGCUGGCUUUCUUUGUCUAAACUUUGUCCUUCCANGACCUGUGGAGCAGACUGGCAGCGGCAGUAUUAUCCUAGCACUAAGUCUUGGAGGAUCUGUCAUUCCAGCACCUGCUAACUGGCUUGGCCUUUGGAGAAGCUCAGUAAAUGUGUGAAUAAAUAAAUGAACUCAGCCA